Alosa alosa (allis shad) is the source of this 219-nucleotide long non-coding RNA. RefSeq lists it as uncharacterized. The transcript has 3 exons. Lineage: Eukaryota; Metazoa; Chordata; Actinopteri; Clupeiformes; Clupeidae. The record is from RefSeq and is a predicted model, not a curated record.
ACACGGUCCUCGAGGAGAUCUUACCUGGCUUUGAAUACUGCUGGAGAAAGUUCUUCUGAUAUGAGCAGACCGGUAUGCUGUGAACCGACUGACUUCUAAACGCCGUCAUGAAAACAACAACUUUUACCAGAACAUUUAUCGGUCUGCAGUUGCAUCAGCAUUUAAAGAGGGGCACUGUUUUUACAGCAGUCCUUCACCACCAUCUGCUGGAAAUACAGA